This 268-nucleotide unclassified non-coding RNA is filed under the name Ascomycota sp. RNAcentral describes it as "partial contains small subunit ribosomal RNA, internal transcribed spacer 1, and 5.8S ribosomal RNA". The stretch from base 1 to 47 matches the Rfam family "Eukaryotic small subunit ribosomal RNA", at positions 1785 to 1831 of the family's 1831-position model. The record is from RNAcentral. Lineage: Eukaryota; Fungi; Ascomycota.
AAAGUCGUAACAAGGUUUCCGUAGGUGAACCUGCGGAAGGAUCAUUAAAAGUAAUAAGUGCUCCAAGCGCUCAUUAUGAAACCCAUCUGUGUAUUUUACCUGUUGCUUCCGUGGGGCGUUGGCUUCGGCCGCCUCCGAUGAGGGCGAGAGCCCAGACUCGGGGAGUACCCACGGGAGGUAUUAUUAAAACCAUUGCUUUCAAUGAUGUCUGUCUGAAUUGUCUCAAUGAGAAAAGUUAAAACUUUCAACAACGGAUCUCUUGGUUCUC